Molecule: ribosomal RNA, 229 nt
Filed under: uncultured bacterium
Lineage: Bacteria
Description: partial 16S ribosomal RNA
Rfam family: Bacterial small subunit ribosomal RNA
Source: RNAcentral
UACGUAGGCGGAAAAUUAAGUCAGUGGUGAAAUCCUGCAGCUUAACUGUAGAACUGUCAUUGAUACUGGUUUUCUUGAAUACAGUUGAGGUAGGCGGAAUGUGUAAUGUAGCGGUGAAAUGCUUAGAUAUUACACAGAACACCGAUUGCAAAGGCAGCUUGCUAAACUGUGAUUGACGCUGAUGCACGAAAGCGUGGGGAGCGAACAGGAUUAGAUACCCUGGUAGUCC